CUCACCAGUAUAUUAAAGAAUUGUGAAUAUUUUUUAUCUUUCUUACUGCAGUCAUUAUCCACUCGGAGACCAUACGUUGACCAGAGUGUGCUAACCAAGGAAAAAGGUAUCUCUCCCUGUCUCAGAGUCCUUUUAGACUGGAAAAAUGUUGUACUUUGAAAGGCAACUCACAGUGCUCCACUGAGUUUAACAUAAGAAAGAAAUUAAGCCUUUGUUUCUCUGUAGUCCGUAUAGGCCAGCAAAGAUCUUUAACACUUGCACAAUAUUUAGAGGCAGGAGAGGUUCCACUGAAGUCUCUGGUCAGCAUUGUGCAGACAGUUGAUUAUCAGCUUUGGUUAUCUAGCUGAGCCAAAAUAAGAAUACAUUGGUUGGCACUGCCUGAAGUAUUUCAAAUCUUACUUAGGUUAUGUGUUGUUUGCUUUGAGGAGAAGGUGGAAAACUGCAUGUGAAAUUUAAAGUGUAUUUCAGAAAUGAAAAAUCAGGAUGGUUUACAUGUUAAAAAUAUCAAAAUGGGACAUUUCGUCUUUUUCACUUCAGGGGGAGGAAGAAGACAAAACUAUGCUGGUGUGCAAAAGCGGUGCUGAAUAACCCUAGAAAGGAGGUCUACUCCUGCAUCCCAUUUCCCACUGAAGUCGGAGGAGGAGUUUGCUCAGCCCAACAUCCAGGAGUUCACCAACACAAUGGCUUUCCAAGCAGUUGGGUGGACACACGGAACCAACCAGUCCCAUUCUGGCAUGCGCAUGAAAUCUCCCUAGCAACAAAGAUGACAGCUUGGUAACAGCAGCUGCUGCUUAAUGGAAAACAUUAGAAAAAUAACUCAUUCUGGAUCUAUGUUCCCUCUUUGCAUUUUCAUAUUUAUCACAAGAAAAGUGUUCUAAGAAAAAAACACCCCACACCAUCCAGAACUUUAAAAAGCUUUAAGGCGCAAGGGUCAGACACACAGCUGUGCAUGUAAAGAGAUGAGCUUCAAAAGUGUGAUUUUGUUAUCGUGGCACAUACAUUUUUCUUUUUAGCCACACCUAUAUUGUUUGUGACUUAACAAGUGGGCCUGUGUACAUGUUGUGGGAGUGCCAUGGAUGUGCUAUUAUUUAUUCUUGCAUCAAACAUGAGAGACGGCCAAAUAUGUGUUAAAUUCCAAGUCAGCAUUUUUGGUUACUGUUGCUUGAAGUACAUCCAUUUCUUCAAGUAUAUCAGAGCUUGGUUCAACAGAAAGGAUUUAGUAUCCAUACAAAAGCAAAUCCGUGUGUCUGGUAAAAUCUUCCCCUUUUUAUUUCUUUAAUAAAAGCAAACACCAAAUUAUUUUUUCUUCUGUUGUAAGUGUUCUGAAAAAGUCCAGUGAAGACAUAAAGACAAGUAUAUAGCAGCUCCCUGAAAUGAAAAACAAAUCAGAGUAGAGCUACAUCACCAUGUGAAAUAGACAAAUUAGGUGGAGAUACAUUAACUACUGUCAUUCAUCAGCCUGAAGUGAUACAAUUUACUACAUGGUAAUAAUGGCCAUAGUUGUAUAAGUAGUAAAGGUAAAAUUACAUCAUGACUUGCAUUAGCAGUAUGAGAUUAUAUCCUGAUUAAUGCACAAUGAACUUGUCAUGUGUACAGCGCAUGUGUUUGUGUGUGCACAGCUGGGUUAUGCUAUGUCUCAUGCUCACAUAUGUAGCAUUUAUCACUUUCUUCUCUAUCUCCAGAAAUUAAAUGGCUUCAUCUACUAAAAUCCAUAAACACCCUGCCAGCUUAAUGCAGAGCCAUCUAAAGUACAACUAAGAGACCCUUGGAAAUGACCACUGGAGAAUCUUGAACACCUGCAUGAAUCCUCUCCACAGACUGGGAGCUGCAUCCACAGCUCCAAGGAGACAUCUCCAGGGUGAGAGCAACAACCUUACCUGCUCUUCGGCUGGCAGGCACCAGGUACCUGAACUGUUCUCAGAGAUGUAUAUCAGAGCUCCUACUCCCAAGAGAAAGCCCCCAACACACAAAAUGACCACGGGAGUGGUUUGUGUGUCUCUUGAAGUACUUCAAGAUGACAGAAGAGAGACGCUUCCAAUUGCACCAGCUGAAAUAACUGACUUAGUCUUCACUUGUAAGAGUGAAUUUAAGAUUCAAUGAUAUCAACGCUUACAUUGUCCAAGGAAAAAGCAGGAGCUGUAGUGCUUGGCAAGGCAGAACAGUGACACUUCCCAUCCAAGGCACAUCCAUGUAAAUGGGCAAAAUGAAUCCAACUGCAUGAGGUUAUUCUCGUACAGCAGUAAGUAGUCAGCAGCACUAUACAGCAUAGCCCUACAUUUCCUUAUUUACACACCAGUAGCCAUUCCAGCUACCUUAAAAGUGAAUCGAGAUUUUACAGGGAGAUAAUGUUAUCAUGUCA
Molecule: long non-coding RNA, 2359 nt
Organism: Pezoporus occidentalis (night parrot)
Lineage: Eukaryota; Metazoa; Chordata; Aves; Psittaciformes; Psittacidae
Exons: 3
Source: RefSeq, a predicted model, not a curated record